Fukomys damarensis (Damara mole-rat) is the source of this 1063-nucleotide long non-coding RNA. RefSeq lists it as uncharacterized. The transcript is spliced from 3 exons. Lineage: Eukaryota; Metazoa; Chordata; Mammalia; Rodentia; Bathyergidae. The record is from RefSeq and is a predicted model, not a curated record.
CCCCCUUCUCUCAGCCCAGAAUCUGUAGAACCAAAAUGUAUCUCUUUUUCCUUUGCCUUCAUUUAACGUCGAAUUAGUCCUGUUUACAAUCUCCUGCCAUAGGGAGCCUGCUAGAAAGCGGGGCGGAUCCAGGCGAUGUCAGCCCCAGGCUGGGGUCCCCAUGCCUGUAAAUCUGGCUUCCUGGGGUAAACUGACGGCCUAGUUCCACCGUCUGUUUUUUGGCCUUGGAAAUGAUGACUAAAACCUGCAAAGGGACCCGACCUGACUUCAUGUCCUUGUUCUUAUUUAUUGGAAUACAGAGGUCAAAACCUAUUGCCUUGUGCUGUGAGGAGGGGCUAAUUUUUUUUUUUCAGUGAUCUCUGAUUUUAUCGUUUCUUGACAAAAAUGAGUCAAUACCUGAGAUUCAAAAAUCCAGAAUGAAGCGUCCCUGUUCUGAGACCUGGUUUUUCUCAUAAUGAGAUCCUGUCCUACCUUUAACUAAAAUACCCCACCUGCUUGUCUGGGACAAGCAGCUGAUUUUCACACAGUGCCCUUUGUCAACUUCCUUAGCCAUCACUACAGCCUCUGCUGACACUACCGAAAACCUCUUUUGUGACAUCAGCCUAAUCUGUAUUUCAUGUCAUACCCUCUACAUUUCGCCUUCCCUGCAACCUGCAAUUGAGCGACCUUAAAGAGGAAGUCCGUUUUAGCUUGGCCCCUUCUGUCGGGGAAUGAGAAAUGGAAAGGAUUUUGUUGUUGUUGUUGCUUUCCUUUGCUGAUUUCCUUAUUCCUUAUUGCUUACGUGGCAGGAGUGAGACCCCCAGAAAGGGAUAAACAGCAGCGGGGAACGUAUCCGGACAGAUGGCUGCUGGGGACAGAACCAAGUUGCGUCUUGAGGCCACAGCCAACUCUUCUGUACCCUGCCACUUUCUCCAUGAUCCCUCUCCUCCCCAGGGAUGAGAAUCAACCCAGUCAAUAUUAGUAUGGUCCCAGAGCAGAAAAGCAGAACGCAGGGCCAAGAUAAAUUCAGUGAACGAGCAGACUCUUUGACAAGAACAAAGGUGAAAAGUGAUUGCUCGAGAAG